CAAUGCAAAACGACUCAUUUAUGUCUUCAGUACAUCUCUUGAUCUUGUUCUUGUCUCUUCUGUACUUGGACUCUACUUUGGUCCGUUAGCCAUUCUUGUCUUGCUUGUUCAAUGAUAUGACUUCGCAAUUUGUUAACUUUGCUUUCAUGUUCGAUUUUUCAUUCAUCAAAACUACAAGAACGAACACGACUUUUAACGAUAAUGAAAGUGUGUUUCAAUAAUAACUUACGACGAUUUGGCAUUUGUCAACUUUGCAUCCACUCGGUUUGUCAUUUAUCAAAACCUACAAAAAUGAACACAACUUUAGUUUAAUGUCUUUGAGAGUGUGUUCCAACAGGGCAGACCCGUUAUCCACCGAGUUUCGAAGGCUGCAGUUGGUCCAAAAGAUCGGCCCCAGACGGAUUUCUUGGUCAUCGGAAAAAAGAUCUUAUCUGUGGGGUUGUUGAAACCUAUAGUUGUUCAUGCCAAAAGGAUUCCCUAAUGAGCUUUCGUCGAGGAACGUCUUUAUCAGAAUAUUUUUGCUUCUCACUUUGGUCAAUUCAGUAAAAUGGUUAUAACGAUGAUACAUCAGCAUUAGCAACGUUAUGGUCAAUACAAACUUUUUUUCUUUCGACAGUAGUGUUUGGACUAGCUUGUACACCUCUUCUAAUACUCCGAGUAUCUGCUACCUCCCACAACCAAAGAUAUAAGAUAAAUCUAACUACCAAGGGUUAACAAAUGGAAGAAAUCACCUAACAUUUUUUGCCUCUGCUGGGAUUUGAAUCCUGAUCUCUACUGCAUAUUACAACUUAAUUGAACGUUAGGCCACCCCUUGGUAUUGGUCAGUACAAAGACGCAUGCAUAUAUAUUGCAUAAAACUUAAGAGGAUAUCAAUGAUUAAGACUUAUGUUUCCAUAGGGAGAAUAUCAAGCUAAAGUAUGAGCCUUGUCCCUCAAUAAAAAUGUUUAAGACUUUGGAUGUCUUUCCUAGCCAGUGAAGCCAAAAAGAAAUCUUUUUUAUACUUUCUUUGACAUGUUGAAACAACAAUUUUUAGGAGCCACACUAAGAUUUGCAUUCUUUUCUUACCCAAUUCAAAAAGGCAAGUAAUAUAAUAGAAAGGGAAGGGUAAAACAAGUAACUCUCCCUCCUAACAUACAUUUAAAAUUAGCUGAAUCACAGUAGUUACAAGAGGAUGACAAUGCAGCUUCAAAAACUGCAGGAUGCUAAAUGUCAUAGAAUGCUUAGCACAUUCACAAAUCCAUUAUUGACAAAUACAUUAUUUAACGAUCAAGUCCAUGCUAAACAUUUUUCUCCAAAUCAAACCAAGCAGAAAAACAAUAGCACACGAACAAAUUGCUGCAUAAUGUUUAGAAAUCAACUUCAUUCACAGUAACUAAUAUAACUACAGUUUAACAACGAAGAACCCUCUGAUUUUGAGACUUAAAUAGAAUGAAAUAUACAAGAUGAUUUGUAUAGUCAUCUCAACUAGUAUGGGAUUAAAGUGCAAUUGAUUGGUAAAAAUACUAGUAAUACCAAAAGGCACAAAUCUACUCUAAGGUAUAGAAGAAUUAUAGCACGACAUACAUCGAAUAUGGCCAUGAAAUCAUUAUUGACGAAAGACAAAGGAAUAAUCCCAGGAUAAGUAUUUAAUAAAUACUUAGACAUGACAAGAUAAAAGUUUUGAUUCUACCACAUAUUUUAUGAAUUGGACAGACAAGCAAAGCAUUAGCAAAAUUCUAUAGCAAAAGAGAGUUUUUGAUAUUAACAGUGAGAAGAAAAAGAAAUUUACAGGUGUCCCGCACAAGCUAGGAGAGUAUAUACCAUUUAUAAACUGAAACUUUAACCUUAGGUCACAUAACCAAAUACGCAAAAUGGAUUUGAUGUGGGGUUGUUGAAACGUAUAACUCUUCAUGCCAACAGGAUUCUCCAAUGAGUUUUCAUCCAGUAAAAUGGUUAUAAUGAGGAUAAAUCAGCAUUAGCUACAAAAGACAAAUUUCUUACAACAGUAGUGUUGGGAAUCGCUUGUACACCUCUUCCAUCCCUCCGGGUAUCCGCUACCUCCCACCACAAAAGAUAUAGGAUAAGUCUAACUACCAAUGCUUAACAAACGGAAGAAAUAACCCUAACAUUUUUUUUCUUCUGUUGGGAUUUGAACCCUGAUCGCUAUCGUCCAUUACAACUUCAUUGAAUGUUAGGCCACCCCUUGGGUGCUGGUCAGUAAAAGAGGCAUGCAUAUAUACUUCAUAAAACUUAAGACGCCAUCAAUGAUUAAGACUUAUGUUUCCCUCAAUAAACAUGUUUAAAUGAGACUUUGGAUUAUCCCCCACCCCACCUCACCCCCCACAAAAGUGAAGCCAAAAGGAAUCUCCUUUUUACUUUCUUUGUUAUAUUGAAACUUGAAGCUGCAUUACAUGUCAUAGAAUGCUUAGCACAUUACAAAUCCAUUACUGACAAAAUACAGUAUCCACCAUCAAGUCCACACUAAACGCUUUUUCUCCAAAUCAAAUCAAGCAGGAAAAAAGAAGCAAAUCAUGAAAAUUGUUGCUGCAUAACAUUUAGAAAUCAACUUCAUUCACAGUAGCUAAGAAAGUCCAAUAUUUAACAAUUGUCACAAUCCCGGAUGCCAUUUUAUGCAGCCUAAUUCCCAUUGUUAGCUUACCCAUCAACUACAAGUAAUCAGAUAAUGCUUCCUACAAAUAGAAUUCCUUUAUUAACAAACCAUAAAGCUCGCUAACAAAACCUUUUCUUCAUAUCAAAUUAAGCAGAACAAAAAUAGCAACUUUGCUGACAAGACAGCAAUAUUUGACAAAUCAAGAUACAAAGUCUGUGAAAGAUGAAAAGAAAAAUACUCAAAAGGGUGAAGAAAGUAAUGUCCUUUUUUCCUAACAUUUUUAUUUAAUUUUCAGCAGCCAAAGAAAUUAAUAAAUUGAUGUAAAGGGGCAAAAGAAACUUACAUUUAAAAGGUCGUUCAUGGUAAUGGAGACGGAGGAGAGAUCUUUUUUUGGCUCUCUCUCUCUUUCAGGUUUUGCGUCAGUGAGAAUUUUAGAGAGAGAAAUAACAGAGAGAAUGUGCUUUGCUGUUGUCCUGUCGAAACAGCUUGUGUGACAAAGGAGAUAGAGAGAGACGGUGUUAAGGAAGUACUUUUCCUUAUUA
RNAcentral lists this long non-coding RNA (3132 nucleotides) under Nicotiana benthamiana. Its description in RNAcentral is "long non-coding RNA (NBEN_LNC035100)". Lineage: Eukaryota; Viridiplantae; Streptophyta; Magnoliopsida; Solanales; Solanaceae. The record is from RNAcentral.